UACAGAGGUCUCAAGCGUUGUUCGGAAUCACUGGGCGUAAAGGGUGCGUAGGCGGGUAUUUAAGUCGGGUGUGAAAGCCCCGGGCUCAACCUGGGAAUUGCAUUCGAGACUGAAUAGCUAGGGUACGGUAGAGGGAAGCGGAAUUUCCGGUGUAGCGGUGAAAUGCGUAGAUAUCGGAAGGAACAUCAGUGGCGAAAGCGGCUUCCUGGACCAGUACCGACGUUCAGGCACGAAAGCGUGGGGAGCAAACAGG
RNAcentral lists this ribosomal RNA (253 nucleotides) under uncultured bacterium. RNAcentral's name for it is "partial 16S ribosomal RNA". It matches the Rfam family "Bacterial small subunit ribosomal RNA", at positions 524 to 776 of the family's 1533-position model. The record is from RNAcentral.